GACGAACGCUGGCGGCGUGCUUAACACAUGCAAGUCGAGCGGUAAGGCCCUUUCGGGGGUACACGAGCGGCGAACGGGUGAGUAACACGUGGGUGACCUGCCCUCAGCUCUGGGAUAAGCCUGGGAAACCGGGUCUAAUACUGGAUAUGACUCCAUGACGCAUGUUGUGGGGUGAAAGCCUUGUGCGGCUGAGGAUGGGCCCGCGGCCUAUCAGCUUGUUGGUGGGGUGANGGCCUACCAAGGCGACGACGGGUAGCCGGCCUGAGAGGGCGACCGGCCACACUGGGACUGAGACACGGCCCAGACUCCUACGGGAGGCAGCAGUGGGGAAUCUUGCGCAAUGGGCGAAAGCCUGACGCAGCGACGCCGCGUGAGGGAUGA
Molecule: ribosomal RNA, 381 nt
Filed under: uncultured bacterium
Lineage: Bacteria
Description: bacterial SSU rRNA
Rfam family: Bacterial small subunit ribosomal RNA
Source: RNAcentral